GUUAAAAAGCUCGUAGUUGGAUGUCUAGCUUUGCGCGGACGGCCCGCCUUCGGGUUGAGUGCUGGAAGCGCUAGCUUGUUUUCCGGUUUGUGUCCCUUCCCUUGACUGUGGCGGGGUUCACGAUCCGGAUCUGUUACUUUGAAGAAAUUCGGGUGUUCAAAGCAGGCUUAUGCCGUGAAGACUGCAGCAUGGAAUAACAACAUAGGGCUAUCGCGUCUCAUUUUGUUGGUUCUGGGAUCGUAGCAAUGAUUGAUACGGACCGUUGGGGGUGCUGCUAUUCCGCGGCCAGAGGUGAAAUUCUCAGAUUCCCGGAAGAGCAACUUAUGCGAAAGCGUUCACCAAGGAGGUCCUGUUUAAUCAAGAACGAAAGUUGGGGGAUCGAAGACGAUCAGAUACCGUCGUAGUCUCAACCAUAAACUAUGCCGACUAGGGAUUGGAGGACGUUGACUUAUCCGACUUCUUCAGCACCUUACGAGAAAUCAAAGUCUUUGGGUUCCGGGGGGAGUAUGGUCGCAAGGCUGAAACUUAAAGGAGUUGACGGAAGGACACCACCAGAAGUGGAACUUGCGGCUUAAUUUGACUCAACACGGGAAAACUUUCCAGGUCCAGACAUAGUGAGGAUUGACAGAU
Molecule: ribosomal RNA, 630 nt
Filed under: uncultured marine eukaryote
Lineage: Eukaryota
Description: SSU rRNA
Rfam family: Eukaryotic small subunit ribosomal RNA
Source: RNAcentral